AGCUCUAAUGUCCUUGUCAGAACUUUGAGCCAGUCACCAAGCUUCCUGGGUCAGGCCCUUCCGCAGCAGUGCAGGGUCUCCUGCAGGGUUGGUGGGAUUGUUCAGGGGCUCCUUCUGGUACUACGUGCACUGGAUCCAAGCACAGUCAGGCUUCUGCUCUCCAGAGGGUUCAGGCUGCACUGGCCACCUCCUCCCCCAUGCCUGUUGUACCCCAGGUAGAACAGGCUCAAGGUUUUCAUCAUUGACUUCUCACCUGUGUAGAGCCAGGGCACUUCAGUUUUCAGAUUCUAGGACUAAAGGGUAAGAGGGACUUAGGGCCUGGCAAGACAGGCAAGGAGGGGCUGGGGACCUCCUAAACCCAUCACUGAUCCUCAGUCCCAGCCUCACCCUGGGGAUCAACAAAGGCAAAGAAAGGUUUGCUGCAUCUGACUUGGUGUACAUUUGUGCUCCUCAUGAGAGAUAAAGGUCCAGAGGCCCUUCCUAGAGAAGUGGGACUUCCCCUUUGCUUCCCCUCCUCCCCCACGUCCCUGCAGUCAGAGAUGAGGGUGUCCAGAGGCAAAGCAUUCUUUGUGUCAGGCCCAAGCUCUGUUCCUGAUCCUAUAGUGCUUUCCCCACCCACAAGCACUGGUCACAGUCUGGUGACAGAGACUAUAAUGUGGAGCACGGUGUGUAGGCACAUGGCAGAAGGCCUCUGCUCCAGCCUGGGCAAAGAUACGCUCCUACCCUGCUCUGCAGUGCUGCAUCCAUCAUCAUCCAUGGGUGCCCUUGUCCUGGGCACUGUCAGGCCUCCCUCUUAGUGGAUGGAGACACUGAGGCCCAGCCUACAACCACCCAGAUGCUCUGGCUGGGGACAUACCUCUGGAAGCAGGGCCCUCAGGACUCAAAGAUGCUCACAGAUUAGGAUUCUUUCUGGGACCAGGCCCAGCUUCUGUCCCUAAAAAUGGGCUCAUCCCCACGCAGCAGGUACUAGAGAACACAAAGGGACAGAGGACUCCUCUGUUCUCAGGGAUUCUGAGAACAGAGGCCUGGCCAGUGGCAGCCGCUAGAGGGCAGAACCCUCCCAUGUGUUUUCUCCUGAGGGCUGGUGAGCAGAUGAGCUAGGCAGACCAGACACAAUGGAGUGGUGGCCCCUGGGCGCAGUCUCCACAAGGCUGAGACGCUGGCCAGAAGUCCACCUGGAUCCUAGGCCCCCAAAGUCCUCCCUGAGUCUUCAGGCUUUUCGCCUCCUAAGAGCCCAGCCAUGAGCCAACAGGGACUGGCUCCUGCAUUAGUGACUGGUCUCUCAUUCUUAGAACAUGAGGGCUAGAGGAGCACUUAGGAAAGCAGGUCCUCCAGCCUCCUCCAUGCAGUGAGGAAACAGGCAGGGAAAAACUCAUCUGACCACACCCUGUAUAUGAGUUGUGUUGGGACACAUUUCCCAAGGACUGAUCAUGAGCCAGGCACCCACAGCAUCCCCAUGGAUCCUGUUAGAAUCACUUUAUAUUUGCAGAUGUGGAAACUGAGGCUCAGACAAGCUGCCAUUUGACUGAAAUCCCCGGAUUCCAGACCAGACAGGAUGAUGACCAAGUCUGUGUUUGAUUUGCCAUACAGCAGAGAUACCCUCAUGGUUGGCUCACUGAUAAAAGUGAAUGAGUGUGUGUGUGUGUGUGUGUGUGUGUGUGUGUGUCCACAGACACUGGCUGCUAAAGCAGGGACCAGGCUGCCUCUGUUGCACCCACACUUGCUCUCCCAGGUUGAGGCCUCUGCUUCUCAUCUGGACCUGGCCAGUGGUUGCCCUGGGUAGAAGGAGCUAUGCAAGGUGGCAGUACCAUAACAAUCCUCAUUGAGGGCCAUUUGAUGUAACAGUGACACUAAACCCAAGAAAAGGGUGUUAACUAAGAGGACCAGCAGCAGUCUAAGAGGUUGUGCCUGCAGCCUUAGGUGUUAAGAACCCUUUCCCCCACUCCCCAAUACUGGGGAUCAAACUCAGGGCCUCAUGCAUGCUAGGCAAGAGCUCUACGACUGAGCAAUAUCCCCAGCCCAAAGACUCACUUUUUUGAGUCCUCAGCUUGGCCUUGCUCCUCCAACCAGGCUUGGGGACCUCUUCUCAGGACCUAAGGUGGGUAGCUCGGUGCUCAGGCAGCACCACUGAGCCCUGGAGCUCCUGGGUGUUUUAGCUCUGGUGAGGGUCUGAGCAAUUUGACUGAUUUCUGUUGGUCUGCUGGCUCCUGACUCUUGCCCUUGCAUGGAGCCCAGGAGACCCUGGAGAUCCAGGUCAGCUGUCUGCUAGGACCCCUCCUCAAGACUGAACCUGCCUCCACACGCUAGCCCUAGGAUUCUCCCUGACAUCUAACAGCAGGGCUGGCCAAAAUUACGGCUGGCACCGUCUCUACUCAGGCUAAAGCUAAUUAGGGGGUAUUGCCCUGAAGUGACCCACUUAAAAAGCUAGCCUAUCUGGCCAUCUGACUUUGUGUGAGAGUGUCAUAUUACCUCUCUAGCUUCAUCUCCUCUCUCCAGAAAAUGGGUGAAGAGAAUUCAGGAGAAGGGAGGUCAAGAAGUGAUUGAUAAGCAGGGCAUGGUGGCACACACCUGUAAUCCCAGGGGCUCCAGAAGUUCAGGUAGGAGAAUCGUGAGUUCAAAACCAGCCUCAGCAAAUUAGCAAGGCCCUAAGCAACUCAGUGAGACCCUGUCUCUAAAUAAAAUAUUAAAGAAAGGUCUGUGGAUGUGGCUCAGUGGUUAAGUACCCCUGAGUUCAAUCCCUGGCACCAAAAAAAAAAAAAAAAAGUGAUGGGCCAUUAGAACAUCAAGCCCAGGUUCCUGGGAGCUGAGUGUGGGCAGAUGCUGUGAGACGCUGGAAGUGAGUUUUUGGCCUAUCUCAACAUUUCUCCUGCCACCCUGUGCUCAUUGUCUCCCUUACUGAUCUUUCACAAAGAACACUGGGAAUUUCCUAGCCAGAAGUUAUGAAAUAGAGGGCAAACUAGCUGAUGAUGUAGAUGGGCUCUUGGAACUCACUUCCCUUUGCAAAGAAGAGUCUGCUUAGGAAAGAAUGACCAGUGGGGGCAGGAACCAGACAUCCUGGCUGCAACUCUUUUUUUUUUGGCAGGGGGUGGGGUGGACACCAGGGAUUGAGCCACAUCCCCAGCCCUUUUUUGUACUUUAAUUAGAAACAGGGUCUCACUGAGUUGCUUAGGGCCUCACUAAAUUGCUGAGGCUGGCUUUGAACUUGUGAUCCUCCAGGAUGGAUGGAUUGUGGGCAGGUGACUUUUCUCUGGGCCUCUGUCAUCUGUAAAGUGGACAGAAGGAUGUGGUGAGGGUUAAAAGAGUCAAGGAGCUGGGCACGGUCAUGUACACCUAUAAUCCCAGCAGCUGGGGAAGCUAAGGCAGGAAGAUGGCAAGUUCAAAGCCAGCCUCAGCAAAAGUGAAGUUCUAAGCAACUCAGUGAGACCCUAUCUGUAAAUAAAAAUACAAAAUAGGGCUGGGGAUGUGGCUCGAUAGUCGAGUGCCCCUGAAUUCAAUCCCCAGUACUAAAAAAAAAAAAAAAAAGAAAGAAAGAAAGAAAAAGAAAAAAGAGUCACAGAGAGAUCAUCUAAUGCAGUGCCGCACACAUAGGAAGUGGACACAAGCAAUUGUAGGUCAGAGAGCAACCAUCAUUUCAUAAUUCAUGACUGUUAUCAUGGUACCUGUUGUACCUGUUUAUGUGCCUGUGUCUGUGGGCCCCUAUAAAUCUGUACAUCUGUAAAUCCAUGCUAGUUGCUGUGAGUCCUCCCGGUGUGUGUGUGGUGUGUUUCCACAUGUGGGCCGUCAUAUCUUGGCAUAGGUGUGUGUGUAUCACUCGGCGUGAUUUCUCCUGCAGAGCCAGUGCUGAGAAGGUAGGAGGUGAGGAGUAGUCUAUGACAGGGCUGGUGCUUGGAGAAAGGGAGAAGUGGACAGGCUGAGUCUGGGAGAAAACGGGGAGGAAAAUGGGACCAGCUUAGCUCAGAUUAGGUAAAGUGUUUAAGGGGACUAAGAUCAAGCUCUAUUCCCUCUUGCACCAGGAUGAUGCAUAGGAAAGUGUUGGGCUGAGUCCCCUAAAGAAGACUGGCCACAGCUAACUCAUGCCUCACCCUGACCAGGGAGCUCUGAGGCCCCAGAAAAUCCCACAGUCUGGCAGUGACAUGUUGUCCAGCUCAUUGCUUGGCCCCUCAGGCCGUGAUCUGCUAAAACUCUAAUAGGAGGUGUAUUUAUGAGUUGCUAUAAAGGUACUGGCAUCCUGGUGAUAAAAGCCUCCAAAAUUGCCAUAAACUGCAAUUUAUAUGUUUAUAACCAUUUACCAGCUAGUGGGUUAGAGAUUUGGUUGUCACUGACACCAGAACCAAGGAGGCACAGUUUCUAGCCAGUGUCAUGCAGGGAGGGCUGAAAGAGGGAGCACUAGUGUGUAGCAGAGGGCCACUGCCCACUUCUUCCACACCUGUCCCUUCCUGAGAGACUCCUCAUUUGGGAGCAUGCCCUGAAGUCUUAUUUAUCUUGAGGCAUAACUUACGCUUAGUGAAGUACAUUCACCAUUAAUAUACAACUCUGUAAUUUUUUCAUAGACAGCUACCGUGUAACCAUGACACCCAGCAGAGUUCAUCAUCCUAGGAAAUUCCCUUGUGCCUCUUCUCUGUUAAUGUCCCCGACCCCAAAAGUAGCUACCAUUCUGACCUCCUCAGAGAUGGGUUUUUCUGCCCCAGAAUUUCAUCUAAAUGUAAUUAUGUCAAAUGUACUCCCUUGCGACUGGCUUCUUUUGACCAACAUAGUGGUUUUAGAUUUAUCCGGGUGGCCCUAUGUAACAAGCAUUCAUUUCUUAUUAUCACUGACUUUUGUAGCCAUUGCAUGUUUUUUUUUGUUGUUGUUGUUUUUGUGUGUGUGUGUGUUUGUACCAUGGAUUGAACCCAGGGGUGCUUAACCACUGAGCCCUUUUUUAUAUUUCAUUUAGAGACAGGUUCUCACUGAGUUGUUUAAGGCCUCACUAAAUUGCUGAGGCUGGUUUUGAACUUGUGAUCCUCCUGUCUCAGCCUCCUGAACUGCUGGGAUUACAGGGGUAUGCCACCCGCUCCCGGCCCAUUGCAUGGUUAGGUAGUCUCUUGUUUAUUUAGUCUCUUGUUGAUAGAAGUCUGGGUUGUUUCUAGGGUUGGAAUAUUAUGGAUAUUCCUGUGUGUGGUCAUAGUUUUUUAUUUCUCUUGGAUAAAUACUUCAGAGUGGAGUGGUUGUGUCCUGGGGUAAGGGUAUGUGUAACUUUAUAAGAAACUGCCAGUAGCAACGUGUGAGAAUUCCAGUUUCUCACCAUCUUUAGAAGGUCUUCUGCCCCAGACCCUUGGUUGCCUCGAAGAGUCCACCCAUCACUGGACACCAUGAUACAUACCUGUAAUGCCAGUGACUCAGAAGGCUGAAGCAGGAGGAUCACAAGUUUGAGGCCAGUCUCAGCAAAAUAGUGAGAAUUUGCAUUAGGGAUUGAAGCCAGGGAUGUUUAACCACUGAGCCACAUUCUCCGUCCUUUUUAUAUUUUACUUAGAGACUGCAUCUCACUGAAUUGUUUAGGGCCCCACUAAGUUGCUGAGGAUGGCUUUGAACUUUUAAUCCUCUAGACUCAGCCUCCUAAGUCAAUGGGAUUACAGGUGUGCAUCACCAUGCCUGGCUCAAAAUUUUUUAAUUUUAAAAAGGGCUGGGAAUGUAGCUCAGUGGUAGAGCACCUCUGGGUUCCCUAGUACUGAAGAAAAAAAAAUCCAGCCUAUCCAUUGCCCUAUCUGGAGGUGGGACUGGCUGCUGGGAUGGUGACCCAGAGUCCCACUGCAGGGGAAGCAUCUGGGCAGAUGUGGGCAAGUGCAUGUUAUACUCUGGGAACUAGCGAGGGGGAAAGGAACUUUACUUUUGAUAAGUCCAGCUAUAACUUAGGUACCACAUUACCUCAAUGUAUAAUCCCUUAUUUAAUCCUCUAGGUGUUGGGGUCCUGCAGGGAAUGGCAGACAAAUCACUUGCAGGCUGCAGAGAACCCCACCUCCACCUGUCAAGGCUGCCUGUUUAGAUCUAUCACAUGACCUAGCACAAAAGUGCUGAGAAGGUCUGUAGAUUUUUUCUCCAUUCCUCCAAUACCCAGAGCAAAGCCCAGGGAGAGAAGGGACUUUGCCCCCAUAGUUAUAAUUCGAGUUAGGCAAUGACUUAGCUGCUCUGCUCCUAGCUCAGGAGGGGAAAUCAGGCCUCUCUCUCCGACAGAGGCCCUUUUUUACACUCCCUUCUCAUUGAACCAAUCCCCAGGAGGGCUUCUCUCAGCUGGGAGCUCCUCUGGGUGACCGUGUCACAGUCCUGUUAAUAACAGUAGCUCAGUCAGAGCAGGCACACAGCAGGCAUCAAUGAAACGAAGGUUGAUGCAUGAGUUAGCCUGGCUCUGCUACUUGGAAAAAUACUAGAAAAUUCCUCCUCUGAAAUAUCGACAGUUGGCAGCUUAAGCCAAAAUCUCACAGCCAAAAGAAUCUCCAGACAUCUUUAGGUAUGGUGUCCUGCUUUCAACCAACCAUGUGUUACUAACCAAAUUUCAAGGAUAAAAUAACUGAUAUUAGAAAGAUAAGCAACUGCCCCAGACUUUUUACUGCAGAUCUGAUAAAAUGACUAGUUCAAAUGGAAACUGAAGGCCUUUGGAGCAACACCCAUCAGAAGCAAAGGUCAUGCACCCCAGAAAUUACAAAAUAAGCAAUGACAGCUGGGUACAGUAGUGUAUACCUAUAAUACCAGCAACUUGGGAGACUGAGGCAGGAGGAUCGCAAGUUUGAGCUCAGCCUCAGCACUUAGUGAAACCAUGUCUCAAAAUAAAAAGAGAAGAAAAGGGCUGAGGAUAUAGCUCAAUGGCAAAGCGCUCCUGGGUUCAAUCCCCACUACCAAAAAAAAAAAAAUAGGUUCAAUUGAAUAUGCUUCCCUUUGUACAAAGUUAUUGGGUAAAGCAAAGUCCAUUGGCAUUUUUCCUAAUUUUGUCUGCACUGUGUGGAAAUUUCUUUCCUUCCAAAUACACUUAGUGCUAACUCUAGGGGACAAGUUGGAGGACUAGAGGUAGUACUUGUUAAUCAGAGAGAUUAAUCUGACCUGUAGCUAUAACAGGUAUUAAACAAACAUAUUAAAUGUACCUGCCGAUGUUAUGUGGCUUCUCACCGAUAUUCUAAGUUAUAGGAUGUAAGCUAUAUCUAAAUAUAAAAGAAAAAAAAUGGCAGAGUGGGAAGAAGCAGGAAAUAAGACAGAGGACAUGGGACAGGUGGGGACAGCCAAAAGAAUCUGGUGGGGACUGUGGUCUGCACUCAUGGCAAAUAGGCAGGGUGUGAAGGAAGGACUCUGGGCAGUAGAGGAUUACUAGCAGGUGGCUACAGAGGGUGACUAGGAAGGCCCAUGUAUAUAUAUCUCCCUUUAUGCUCUCCUCUGGAGUUGGGGGACAGGAGGGGUUUGCCCUGCCAAGUCCCUUCCAAGGGCCUAAUGACCAGCUUUUUUCACAAAUCUCCCACCCAAGCCUGCCCAGGCAGCUUAUGAUGGGCCUGGAGUUUGCUCUAUGCCUAAGAUGGCCCUGUUUUCUACUAUCUCCUGGCUGCUGGGUCUUAGGCAGUCAGGAGAGGAGCCCUGGGACAGCUUAGGGAGACUCAGGGUCCUGGUCCAAAUGUAAGCCCCUCAACCCAGCUUAGCCCUAAGUCUUGUUAGUUUGUUUUGUACUGGGGAUUGAACCCAGGGUGCUUAACCACUGAGCCACAUCCCCAGCCCUUUUUAUUUUUCAUUUAGAGACAGGGUCUCUCUAAGUUGCUGAGCCUGGCUUUGAACUUGCAAUCUUUCUGCCUCAGCCUCCUGAGCUGCUGCGAUUACUGGUGUGCACCAUCACACUUGACCUUGGCCCCCAAGUCUUAAAACUGGCCUCUCUAGAAUGAAGGCCAGGAGUCUGCUAAUUUUUAACUUGGCAUCCAAAGCCAGCAGGUAGAGGACCACAAGGAAUGGGAACUAAAUGCCCCAUUGAAAGGCACGCACACUAGAGAAAAGGAGAGAGAGUUAGAUAUUUGUACACAUGUAUAUAGUCAUGUGUUGCAGAACAACAUUUCAGUCUAUGACGGACUUUACUGUAUAUGUGAUAGUGGUCCCGUGAGAUUAAAUCACUUAGUGAUGUCAUAGCCACCUUAGUUCAUAUAAGUUCACUCUCUGAUGUUUGCAUAAGGAUGAAAUCACCCAACAAUGCAUUUCUCAGAACAAGUCUCAGUGGUUAAGUGAUGCAGAACUGUAAUGAGUCUUACAUCAGUAAUUACAUGACUAAUAAUGAGGCAUUUAUUAUAUAUGUAUACAAUAUUAUACAAUUAAUGAUUAAGUACAUUUAUUAUAUUAAUAGUCAUAUUAUUAUAUUUUAGCAUAUAAUACAUAUGCUUUUAACUAAGAGGAUGAAAACACAUGUUCAUAGAAAGACUUGUGCAUAAAUGGCUAUAGCCCCAACCCAGAAACAACCCAAAUGCCCACCAACAAGGGAAUGGAGAAACAAAUUGUGGUAUAUCCAUGCAAUUGAAUAAUACUUGGCAAUAAAAAGGAAUGAGCUGCUGCUAUCCACAACAACAUGGAGGAAUCUAGCAAAAAUUAUGCUGCAUAAACAAAGACAGGCAAAAAGAGUACCAACUUUAGCUGGGCACGGUGCUGCAUGCCUGUAAUCCUAUCGGCUCAUCAGAUUGAGGCAGGAAGAUUGGAUUUAGAAGCAAUUUAAUGAGGCCCUAAGCAACUCAGUGAGACUCUCUAAAUUAAAUAUGAAAAAGGGCUGGGGCUCAGUGGUUACGUGUUCCUGAGUUUAAUUUCAGGUUAAGAAGAAGAAGAAGAAAAAAAAAGAGUACCAGUUUUAUAAUUCCACUCAUAUAAAAUUCUAGAAAGUUCAAACUAACCUGUGAUGACAAAAGCAGACCAGUGGCUACCUAUGAUAGGCUGGGAUGGGCUGAAUGGAUUAAAAGAGAUACAGAAACUUCUGAGGUGAUAAAAAUAUCUGCCUUCUUGAUGGUAUUGAUGGUCUCUGGGGUACAUUCAUAUAUCAACAAUAAAUAAAUUGUACACUUUAUGUAGGUAUAGUUUAUUGUACCUCAAUUAUACUUCAGUCAUGUGGAAGAGAUAUUUUUCCCAUCACAUUACUUUCAUUCAAAAUACCAUUACUAUUAUUAAUAUAGUUUCCCUUAAUGUCAUUUAAUAAUAUCAUCUAACAAUAUGAGGGGAAAUGAAAUAAAAUAAAAAUUAUUUAAAAGUAGUAUUUGUGUUAUCUUUAUCUCUUCCUUUUAAAAUGGUGGCUAUGCCAAUAAUCCCAGAAAUUUGGGAGGCUGAGGGGGGAUGAUUGCAAGGUCCACACCAGCAUGGGUAAUAAUAAUAAUUCAUUUCAAAAUUAAAAAAAUUAGAGGGGCUGGGGUUGUGGUUUAGCAGUAGAGCGCUCGCCUAGCACAUGUGAAGCCCUGGGUUCGAUCCUCAGCACCACAUAAAAAUAAAUAAAUAAAGGUUAUUGUGUCCAACCAAAAAAUAAAUAUUAAAAAAAAUUAGAAUUGGGGGUUGUGGUUGUAGCUCAGUGGUAAAGUGCUUGCCUAGCAUUUGUGAGGAACUGGGUUUGAUCUUCAGCAGCACAUAAAAAUAAAUAAAUAAAUAAAUUAAUUAAUUAAUUAAUUAAAGGUAUUGUGUCCACCUACAACUAAAAAAAUUUAAAAAGGGCUGGGUAUGGAAAUUGUAUGGUAUGUAAUUGUAUGACUCAGGAGGCUGAGGCAGGAGGAUUGCAAGUUCAAAACCAGCCUCAGCAAUUUAGCAAGAGUCUGUCUUAAAAUUUAAAAAAAAUUAAAAGGCUGGGGAUGUGGCUCAGUGUUGAGCACCCCUGGGUCCAAUCCUUGGUACAAAAAAAAGAAGUUAAAUAAAAUAAAAAUAAACAUAAAAAUAAAUAAAAAAUUUAAAAGGGCUGGGGAUGUACCACCCUUGGGUUCAAUAACCUGUAUCAAAAAUGUUUCUAUCAACAAAUGGGCCAAGGACCUGAACAGACACUUCACAGAGGAGGACAUACAAUCAAUCAACAAGUACAUGAAAAAAUGCUCACCAUCUCUAGCAGUCAGAGAAAUGCAAAUCAAAACCACCCUAAGAUACCAUCUCACUCCAGUAAGAUUGGCAGCCAUUCUGAAGUCAAAGAACAACAAGUGCUGGCGAGGAUGUGGGGAAAAGGGUACUCUUGUACAUUGCUGGUGGGACUGCAAAUUGGUGCGGCCAAUUUGGAAAGCAGUAUGGAGAUUACUGGGAAAGCUGGGAAUGGAACCACCAUUUGACCCAGCUAUUGCCCUUCUCNAAGAUUAACAUUAAACAGAGACAUGAGGUGGGAGGGAAAGGGAGAGAAAAGGGAAAUUGCAUGGAAAUGGAAGGAGACCCUCAUUGUUAUACAAAAUUACAUAUAAGAGGCUGUGAGGGGAAUGGGAAAAAAAACAAGGAGAGAAAUGAAUUACAGUAGAUGGGGUAGAGAGAGAAGAUGGGAGGGGAGGGGAGGGGGGAUAGUAGAGAAUAGGAAAGGUAGCAGAAUACAACAGUUACUAAUAUGGCAUUAUGUAAAAAUGUGGAUGUGUAACCGAUGUGAUUCUGCAAUCUGUAUUUGGGGUAAAAAUGGGAGUUCAUAACCCACUUGAAUCAAAUGUAUGAAAUAUGAU
RNAcentral lists this long non-coding RNA (10643 nucleotides) under Marmota monax (woodchuck). The record is from RNAcentral. Lineage: Eukaryota; Metazoa; Chordata; Mammalia; Rodentia; Sciuridae.